UGGCACCCAGCAUAGGGCACCUGGCAUGGAGGAUCAAACGAGGGAGCCAUCCAGGGACUUGUGCAUACAAAGGAAGCUAAGAGUUCCAACGCUACGCGCAGGAGCUUGCCGCGCCACUGGAGUCAUGGUAAAUGGACAUCGAUCCCUUCCCCCUUUUUUCCAGCAUGGGUCAAGCAUUAAGUGAUCACAAACUUUUCGUGAGAGGCCUGAAUAAGGCAUUAAAGACAAGAGGGAUUAAGGCUAAAGAAAAAGAUUUAUUACAAUAUUUUCAAUUUAUUCAUAAGGUUUGCCCUU
Regulatory RNA element from Cavia porcellus (domestic guinea pig), 294 nucleotides. It matches the Rfam family "Mason-Pfizer monkey virus packaging signal". From Rfam's summary of the family: The packaging signal is located in the 5' UTR and is required for specific RNA encapsidation. The record is from Rfam. NCBI's taxonomy places the organism in Eukaryota, Metazoa, Chordata, Mammalia, Rodentia, Caviidae.